Ipomoea nil (Japanese morning glory) is the source of this 127-nucleotide long non-coding RNA. RefSeq lists it as uncharacterized. NCBI's taxonomy places the organism in Eukaryota, Viridiplantae, Streptophyta, Magnoliopsida, Solanales, Convolvulaceae. The record is from RefSeq and is a predicted model, not a curated record. The transcript has 3 exons.
AGCCUGUGAAUCUGUUGGAUGUAUUUGGCCUAGAGUUGAUUUUGUUUGAUGAUUUAUGGAUGUAUGGCUCGUGUGGUAGCCUGAACUUGUGUACCCGAGAUUUGUUAUAGUGGAAUUGUUGGUGGUG